Molecule: long non-coding RNA, 351 nt
Organism: Xenia sp. Carnegie-2017
Lineage: Eukaryota; Metazoa; Cnidaria; Anthozoa; Malacalcyonacea; Xeniidae
Exons: 2
Source: RefSeq, a predicted model, not a curated record
GAUUCCACAAUUUCUUUUUAAUUGAAUAUUUGAUCACAUGGACGACGCCAUUGGCGAGGGUAUGGUCAAAUUCCUUGCAUUUUCCUUCAAGAAUUGAUUCAAAACUCGUCAUUAGCUAUCAGAAGAAUGCAAGAGGUAGGAAAUGCCGUGGUCGAGGAAUUUUGAGGAGGCAAAGUCGAUGUCUUUGCCAUUGAUUAGUCUGUUUUAUCGUGGAACAGUUUCAAUUGUACAAACAUCAGACUGAUAUCAGUAUAGUAAAAGUCAUUCUGAUUACAUCUUGCAAGUGUGUUGGAAUUAUUACUUGUCAUUUUAUCAUAGUCGAGAUUUUAUAUAGUUAUAAGCUUCGUGAAA